AACUUACAUUAUUGAUUGCUCUUUGGUUAUAUUAGUUUGCUGAUGAUUUUUGAGGACAUGAUUUCUGUUUGUUUAGCAUGAUUCCUAAUGGCUCUAAUUCUUCUCUGUUAUCCUAACUGUGAGGUCUUGAGUCUAAACACUUGAAUUUUUUUUUCUUGACUAUGUGAGUUCCACGUCUCUCCUAUUCUCUAGAACUUGCUUGAAUUCUCUUGAUUGAUUGAUUGCGAUGAAUAAUGCACCGAGGCACGUUUUUGUGAGCUUGAGCCUUUGUAGCCUACCCUNNNNNNNNNNNNNNNNGAACUAAAAGAAAAAUAUUUUGAAAAAGUUUGUGAAAAAAAAAAUGAAGAGAAUGUCCCUCAUGAAAAGAAAGGAAAUGGUGAAAGAAAUGAAAAAUAAAUAAAUAAAGAGAAUGCAAAAUGCAUAACACCUUGUUUGAAAAAAAAAAUGAAUAAAAAAAAUAAAUUUGUCGAGGGACUUCUUUGUGAAAAAAAAAAGUGAGCAUGGAAUGAGUUCACACAUUGUGAAUUCAUUUGCAUGAGGAAAAAAAAUUGUGAAAACUAAGUUCUCUAGUAUGAAUGUGAUGAUUUUUGGGAGAUCAAUUGAUUUGUCCACUUUUGUUUGAAAUAGGUGAUCUUAUAAGCUUCAAGUUUUUCUACCUAGCUUCCCAAAAAUAUCCACCCUUCAAUAAACCUAAGCCACGCUAUAACCCGAAAAGUCCUCGAAAGGUGAAUAUUCAUUGUAUGUUGAUCGAUUUUUAGAGUCCUUGCAAGCCUAUGGU
This 778-nucleotide long non-coding RNA is filed under the name Trifolium pratense (red clover). Its description in RNAcentral is "long non-coding RNA (TPRA_LNC007734)". The record is from RNAcentral. Lineage: Eukaryota; Viridiplantae; Streptophyta; Magnoliopsida; Fabales; Fabaceae.